UGUAUCGCAGGAUCCAGCUCAGACCGUGUCAUCAAGUUUGCGGAUGGCACAACAAUGACGGGUCUUAUCAAGAGCAGUCCUGAGUUAGAGAGCAGAGAGAAAGUGGGGCGGCUGGCGGAUUGGUGUGAGGAGAACAACCCAAGUCUGAACGUGAAGACGACAAAGGAAAUUAUUGUAGACUUCAGGAACUACUAUGUCGUCUCAGGCCUAGGGGGCUGGCGUCAGGCACGAUGACAGACUCUCCACUUCUCCCCCUCCCUCAUCAGGUUGCUUCACCUUUAACUGCCCCAAGUGUGUCGAGGAGUGGCCUUGGUAGGAAGUGUGUCAACUUGAUUGCCUGACAGAGGAAAAAUGGAUAUCUUAUGAAAUGCAACUAUGCAAAUUAAUAAGCAAUGGGGCAAAGUCAUACCAAAAGUGACCAGAUUGUGGCCUUUAUGUCCCAAGAAUAAAUUUGGAGAAGUCGUAUGUUCAGUGCCUAUCUUGUUCAGAAAAAUCAAAGAAGCUCUCAGUUCUGUUGGGAUUGUCUAUGAGAGUGGAAAAACACUGAUGCUCAGGCUGAAUGCUGUAGUAGCAAGCCUUGCACGAUGACAAAUUUGCU
Molecule: long non-coding RNA, 598 nt
Organism: Mobula hypostoma (lesser devil ray)
Lineage: Eukaryota; Metazoa; Chordata; Chondrichthyes; Myliobatiformes; Myliobatidae
Exons: 3
Source: RefSeq, a predicted model, not a curated record